GAAGAGACAGAGUCCUAAAGUUACUGUGGUGUAGACAUCAACAACCAUGGAUGAUCUUGGAUGUGUCAUUACUUCUCUGGGUCUUGAUAUCCUAAAAUACAAAAGGAAAGAUUACACUAAGCCGUCUCUCUGAUCCCGUUAGCUCCAACCCUCUGUGAUCUUGAAGAUGUAAUCUCUGGUUUAUAGAUCUGCAUUUAUGUCAAGGGAAAUGUCAUGUAUGUGUGGUGUCUGUUUGAUGGCCAUGUGACAGCUGAAGACUGGCUCUGAUGGAUGACUUAAGUAACCUCUGGAGGGUACCCACACUGUGACCAUAAACCACUAUGCCCGUGUGGAAAACACUGCAGUCCUGGGGCAAAAGACAAACUUCAUGCUUGAUAAAAAACAACUAAAAGCCAAACCUCUUCAAGACUAAGCCCUUGAUCUUGAUGUCAGUUUGUAAGACUAACACUUUGAUGGAGGUGAGAGACUCAUGUAUGAAUAGUGAUGGAGGAGCCAUGGAGCUAGAAGUUCUAGAUCCCAUAUAUUGUGGAAUUUUGGUGUAAUAAUUGGAGUUCAGGCUAAGUUUGAAGUCGACACCCCCUGACUAAGCAGAACACUGACAAGAUGUGACAUCUCUGCCAACUUGAGGAUCUACUUUGGCCUGGGAAAAUUGGAAGAGACCUUGUAAUGGAAGCGAGGACACCAAGAAGUAUAACAAAAGAUAUCUG
This is a long non-coding RNA of Neofelis nebulosa (Clouded leopard), 707 nucleotides long. RefSeq lists it as uncharacterized. The record is from RefSeq and is a predicted model, not a curated record. The transcript is spliced from 4 exons. NCBI's taxonomy places the organism in Eukaryota, Metazoa, Chordata, Mammalia, Carnivora, Felidae.